AUCCGGCUGACGAAUCCCAAAUUGAACGAAAUGCGCGUCCUGGAU
Molecule: non-coding RNA, 45 nt
Organism: Schistosoma mattheei
Lineage: Eukaryota; Metazoa; Platyhelminthes; Trematoda; Strigeidida; Schistosomatidae
Source: Rfam